This 468-nucleotide ribosomal RNA is filed under the name uncultured bacterium. Its description in RNAcentral is "partial 16S ribosomal RNA". It matches the Rfam family "Bacterial small subunit ribosomal RNA", at positions 28 to 507 of the family's 1533-position model. The record is from RNAcentral.
GACGAACGCUGGCGGCGUGCUUAACACAUGCAAGUCGAACGGAAAGGCCCUGCUUUUGUGGGGUGCUCGAGUGGCGAACGGGUGAGUAACACGUGAGUAACCUGCCCUUGUCUUUGGGAUAACUUCAGGAAACUGGGGCUAAUACCGGAUAGGAGCUCCUGCUGCAUGGUGGGGGUUGGAAAGUUUCGGCGGUUGGGGAUGGACUCGCGGCUUAUCAGCUUGUUGGUGGGGUAGUGGCUUACCAAGGCUUUGAAGGGUAGCCGGCCUGAGAGGGUGACCGGCCACAUUGGGACUGAGAUACGGCCCAGACUCCUACGGGAGGCAGCAGGGGGGAAUAUUGCACAAUGGGCGGAAGCCUGAGGCAUCAACGCCGCGUGCGGGAUGACGGCCUUCGAGUGGUAAACCGCUUUCGCCUGUGACGAAGCGUGAUUGACGGUAAUGGGUAAAGAAGCACCGGCUAACUACGUG